Molecule: long non-coding RNA, 4807 nt
Organism: Anneissia japonica
Lineage: Eukaryota; Metazoa; Echinodermata; Crinoidea; Comatulida; Comatulidae
Exons: 3
Source: RefSeq, a predicted model, not a curated record
GGUUAGUUUAGUGCAAUAAAAUAGAUUUUCAAAAAUUUGACUUUCUAGCAUGAUUUGGCCAUUUUCUCUGAAACUCAAUUUGCGACGAGUGACUAGUUUGGCUGGUCUUUGCCACAAACAUCCUUAUUUAACCAUGUUUCUGUAAGACAAAGAAUGUCAAUGUUAUUUUCAUGUAACAAGACAGUAAUUUGGUCUACCUUAUUACGUAAACUUUAGAUAGGUGAUUUUUAAUCCUUUACCUAAGAAGAAAUUGAAGUUUAAAGAUUCAUUAUAGAAAGGUAGAUUUAUAACAGCCUUUUUAAAGAAGCACUUGUCACAUCACCAUGUCGGUUUUCAUUAUUAAAGUUAUCAAUACAGACAUCAUGAAAGUUUAAGGUACAGGAGUCACAUGUUAGUAUAUGUUCAUUCAUUCUUGUAUUUUUGUAUGUAUGAAAAAAUUAAUAUUUUUUUCUCAAGUAUUUGGGGACAUGCUGAGUAUCCAGACAGGGCAAAAAAUAUACCCUUAUUUCCUGACGCAAACUUACAACAAUAUAAACAAUUAAUCAUUGGCAAAAAUAAACUUAGAACAACAUUCCCAUUACUCUGUAGAGUGUAAUUUUUUUUUUUUUUUUUCUUUUUAAACUAAGCCAAAACAACGUAAAUUACGUACCACAACGGUUUCGACCUUUAUCAAAUUUACGUUGUUUUGGCUUAGUUUAAAAAGAAAAAAAGAAAAUUACACUCUACAUAUUUACAAGAAGCCAAAUGAAAAUUUUUUGAACAUUCCCAUUACUCUACAGUAUAAUAGUAUAAAAAAUAUUUUAACAUUUUUUUCUUAUUUGUUUUAGCCAGGGUAUGCACUGCAUACCUUGCUUGCCUUGACGGUCCGCCACUGCACAAAAAGCACUAUUAUAGUAAUGUUUUACUUACUGUUCAUCCAGUAAUGGAUUCAAGAUCUGGCUUAAAUUUCAAUCCUUUUGUCUGCUAUUUCUCGAAAAAAAAAUCAGUAGAGGUUUUAGGAUCCUCUUCUUUUUUUUUUCAACUAAUUAUUGAAGGGAGUAAGGUAACUUGCUGGGGGAAGGGGAUGAUUUAGCAAAUCUAACCACGAUGAUUAAAGCACCACAAAACUCACACUUUCACUUUCACUUCUUGGAAAUUGAACUUUAAGAUGUGUAAAAUAAUUAUAAUGAUGGAACUGACAGUGGUAACACUUCCCCCCUUAAAGGAAAGAAAGAUUUAUGCAAUAAAUCUUUCUUUGUUUUAUACUAAAACAAUAAUAAUAUUGUUGAACAUACAGCACAACGUAAAAGGAUAAUACAGAUUAUAAGUAAAAGCAAUCAAGAUUCAUGCAAAACAAAGUAUAAAUUAGCUAAAAGUAAAAUAGCAUAAUUAAGCAAAAUAAAAAUAUAUAUGGUAAUAUAUGAAUUCAAAAUUAAUAGGUAAUUACAUGCAAAUCAAGCAAAAUCAUAAAACUUUCAAAUAGCAAACAUAUUAAUUGUUUACAGUUUAUGAUUUAGACUCGAGACAAAGCAUCAGGGACUAAGUUAUCUUUUCUCUUAAUGUGCUGAAUUAUCAGGUCAUAUUCUUGUAGGAUUAAACUCCACCUCAUCAAACGUUGAUUAUUGUUCUUCAUUUUAUUUCAAAAUGUGAGAUGAUUAUGAUCACUGAAAACAGUUAGGGUUUUAACAGAAGAAGAUACAUAAACAUCAAAAUGCUGGAGUGCUAAAAUUAAAGCAAGGCAAUCGUGGAGUAAUUUUUUUGAUAAUGAUUGAAUUUCUUUGAGAAAUAGCAUACAGGAUGGUCAAUACCAUUGUCGUCUUCUUGUAAAAGUACGCCCCCAGCACCAAUAUCACUAGCAUCGAUGGCUAAUUUAAAAUCAAUAUCAGAAUUUGGUGCUGAAAGAACUGGUGUGCUUUUAAGUACGGCUUUAAGUUUGUCAAAGGCGAGUUGACAUUGGUCUGACUAAAUAAAUUUCACUCUUUUUCUUAGUAAAUUAGUUAAAGGGGCCACGGUGGUUUCAUAAUAGACAUUAAGUCAUACCCCCUCUAUAGUAUAGAUCCGUAUUUUUUCGAAAUAAUGAUUUUAUGAGGGCGCUAUACAUGUAAACAGGGGAGUUACAUGUUUGGCGGGUUUUUAAAUGACCUACGAAUUUCGACGAAUCACGAUCGUUUACAUUGGAAAAUCUCAUUAAUAUUCAUUAUUAUUUAUUCUGGAGACCUUUGGGAAUCGUAUUAUGGGAUGUUGCAGCGAGACAGCAUGGUUUGGAGAAGAUGGUGAGUUAUUGAACAUUACCUUUGUUUUUUUUCUCAAAUUUAGCAUUAUUUUUUUCAACUAUUUAAAGGUCAUAAUUUAAUGAUUUAUAUAUUAAAAUCCUAGUUACUUUAUGAUAUGAAUUUUGUUUUAUAUAGUUGAUUAUUAUGUACAGAAUGAUGUUGGAAAAUUUCGUCUUGACGUAAAAGCUAGUUUUUUGUUAACUACAGAAGCUUUGUAUACCAUGUGUGCACACGUGUACGCUAUGUGGCUUUUGACAGGCAUGUUGAUAAUUAACAGAAUACACGUUUAAACAUGGUUAGAUGAGCCUAGGCUAGUUGCUGUAGUAGUACAGAAGGACCCUACUAGACUAGGGUAUGCCUAGGUUAGCCCUGCUUUCUAGCUAGCUAGGCUAACCUAGCACAUAUGAUUAAGGACGGGCCUGUCCUAUUACUACUAGGCCUAGGCUAUUAUAUUAUAUUAUUAUUUAUUUAUAUUAAUUAUUAUAGGCUGUGGAGGGUCCAGGGACCUAGGGAUCGUUAAUAAUAUUAGAUAAUAUUAGUCAAUAAUACCUAGGCCUAGACUAUCAGGUACUAAGUAGGUUGUGUUAAUGUGGUGGUGUUAAUUGGUCUAGGCAGCCUAGUACUAGUUAAUAUUUCGAUCCAUUAAUUAUAUUGACAAGUCGACAAAAAAAGAAUUGAUGUAAAACUGUUUUAAUUUUAAUAAAACAAAUUAAGUUACUAUUUGUAUAUGAUUUUUCAUACCGUAAUUAUAACUCAUUUUAAUUUAUUUCAAUUGUUUCAGAUACAUGAAAAUAUGACAUGUAGUAAACCAUCAUAUCACGCACGAGAAUCCACAUGGAUUCGGCUAGUAAGGGCGCAUAGAAAAAUGGUGAAUUAUACAUAACAUAAAAUAAUUGUGUGUGCAACCAAAGCAGAAAUAAUUUUUAAAGUUCCAAAUAUAAUUACAACACUAAAUUACACAAUUUCAGUUACCUCGCAACACUUGUGCACAUGAUUGCCCACAAAUGCCUUGCCAUGAUAUGCCUGGCGUUCUACCUUUCUGACCUGCAACACAUCAUCCAAUGCACAGACUAUGGGUCCUGAGCCAAAUUUAAGUUGUUUAUCAAGCUUCAUUUCCUUAUAGAUGCAGUGUACAAAUUUAAGUUGUGUUAAUUUAAUAUUGGUUAAAACAAUACAAUACAGUGUAGUGUUUUAUAUUUCUGUAAUGUGCUCAAUAAAAUGUAUUGAUUUUUAUUAAUAUUGUACUUUAUACUAACCAGAUCUUUAAUUUCUUGUUGUUUAACAGCUAUGUUCCUCACUGCAUUGCACACUGCCUUGGAUUUAGUAAUGUUUUUGUUAAUAAAUACCAGCGGUAUUUCAUCUUCGAGAAGAUAAAGAUAGAUUUGAUAAGGCAAAAGAAAUUCAAGGCAUCGAGAAACAGAAGUGGCUGCAAGAUACAGGGAAAGUGUUAGGACAUCCAGGAGAAUGUGAUAUUUUGCGGAGUUGCUGCCAAGCAGGAUCACAGUCAACCUUGAUAGCCAGUGACCUGUCAACAUCAACUAUGGAUGGAGUUGCAGAUGCAGAGAUUUCGUGUGCUAAUUGAUUGUUGCUAUCCCCAUGUGAUAUCACCUCGCGUAAAGAUGACAUUUCCUGUGUACGUCGUUGAAGACUCCUUUUGCACACAUUGCUGCUGGAUUUUGCUGCUUUUGUGAUUACAGCAAUCUUCACUGGCUGAAAUAUUGUAAUCACACAAUUUAAAUACAGUUUUCAAAGUGCUACUGCAUUACAAAUGCAAUUAAUAAAAUAUUUUCUAAUGCUGUAAUUAUGUUAAAGAAUGUUAAAUUAAAUUUGUUUAGUAUAAAAUAAUUAAACCCUAACCCUUCCUCUAGUUUGGAUUUCAACCUCUUUGCACUGCUUGAGAGAUCGAUACACCACUUUAUUAGCCAACUGUUGAACUUCAACUGGUAUAGCAUUUUGAUUUUCCUCAAUUUCUUGUGCAAUUGUGGUGAUUGCACUGGAUAUUCUAUUGUAUUGUUGUUCAGCUGGUGUAGAGCACUUAUGUUGAUGGCAGUCAUCAAAUUUUAGGGUUUCACCGCAUGAUUUACAUAACAGUUGCACAGAUUUCAAUGAGUUCUGAACAAUCAUGGAUGGUGUUUUCACAUCAGAUACAUUCACAGGACACCUGCAGACAAAACAAGGGCAUUGUCGGUCUCGAAGUGUGCCAAACAGUUUUGAUAGUUUCUACAUUUUCUACUGACAUAAUACGCAGACAAAUGGCACAUUCAAAUAAUGAUAACGAUGAUUGAUCUUUGAUUGUAAAUUGUUGAUUCAAUGCAUUGUGCUGUAAAUGCUUAGAACAAAUGAUGGGUUUCAUUCUGUAACCUGUUUUUUUGUUGUUCUUUGAAUAAAUAACAUGAAAGGCACAGGGUUCGUACGGGUUUUGGAAAGUCAUGAAAAGUUAUGGAAAUUUGUUUAGGUAAUUUCCAGGACCUUAAAAGUUAUGGAAAAAUUAUUUGGUUAUGGAAAAGUUAUGGAAAUAUGUAGAAUGUGACAAAUAAAAUAAAUAGUAUGUCAAA